RNAcentral lists this long non-coding RNA (309 nucleotides) under Mytilus galloprovincialis (Mediterranean mussel). Lineage: Eukaryota; Metazoa; Mollusca; Bivalvia; Mytilida; Mytilidae. The record is from RNAcentral.
GUUCACCAGUAUGCUUUCUCAUGUGAAUUCGACAGGCGCUUUCUCGUUGAAACUCUUAAUCACAAAAAACACAUUUAAAAUGUUUUUCCCCAGUAUGAAUUCUCAUGUGUUCAUUAUAGUUGCCUUUCUGACCAAAUUCCUUAUCACAUACAUCACAUUUGUAAGGUUUUUCGCUAGCAUGUGUUCUCAUGUGAAUUUGAUAAAUAUUUUUUUGGCAAAAUUCCUUUCCACAAAUAUCACAUUUGUAAGGUUUUCCACCAGUAUGGAUUUUCUUGUGUAUAUUAUAAUUGCCUUUAUGACCAAAUACUU